Molecule: long non-coding RNA, 404 nt
Organism: Spea bombifrons (plains spadefoot toad)
Lineage: Eukaryota; Metazoa; Chordata; Amphibia; Anura; Pelobatidae
Exons: 3
Source: RefSeq, a predicted model, not a curated record
GGUCCACCAAUGGACCAUGGGUUUCCACAAGCCUCGUCAUGGAAGCCAAAGUCUGUUAGGUUAGCCUAGCCCUGGUUAUUAGCCAGCGGAAUCAUAAAUAACGAGAUCCACCGUAACUGUAAGAGGAGGCCUUCUUCCUUUGUAUUUGAAAGAAUUGCCGUCGAAUUAUAUCACCACCCACGAAGACAGCUGCGUGACGCAAACCCCGGAUGCAUGACAGGCGUUGGGGAAAGAAAGAAAGAAAGAAAAAAAAACAAAAGAUGGAGAUAGGACGAUGGACAAAAGAAUACAUUAUUCUUCAGAGCGCACGACGGAAUGAGAGAUACCUCUAUUAAGAUGGAAAGAAGAUACAAUGGAGUUUGUUCUAGGUUCUCGUUUGAGCAAAUAAAAUGUUUUCGAAUCUA